AAAUUUUUAAGGUUUGUAUUAUACAAUUAAAAGGGAAGUUAAGUGCAAAGCUUACGCGGUCCCGCCACUGUAAAGAUGAUGAAAGCAAGAAUACCACUGAAUUAUUUUGGGAAGGCUUGUGAGUAGGAAGAAUCUGAGUCAGGAGACCUGCCUUAAAAACUU
This 162-nucleotide non-coding RNA is filed under the name uncultured Fusobacterium sp. Lineage: Bacteria; Fusobacteriati; Fusobacteriota; Fusobacteriia; Fusobacteriales; Fusobacteriaceae. The record is from RNAcentral.